CGGUGGAGUAUGUGGUUUAAUUCGAUGCAACGCGAAGACUACCUGGUCUGACAUCCGGAGACCCUUAGGAAACUAGGGGGUGCUUCCAUCUGGAAGAAUCUGGAGACAGGUGCUGCAUGGCUGUCGUCAGCUCGUGUCGUGAGAUGUUGGGUUAAGUCCCGCAGCGAGCGCAACCCUUGCCUUAGUUGCCAGCAGUUCGGCUGGGCACUCUAAAGGGACUGCCGGUGUUAAACCGGAGGAAGGUGGGGAUGACGUCAAGUCCUCAUGGCCUUUAUGACCAGGGCUACACACGUACUACAAUGGCCGAUACAAAGGGCAGCGACACUGCGAGGUGAAGCCAAUCCCGUAAAAUCGGUCUCAGUCCGGAUUGGAGUCUGCAACUCGACUCCAUGAAGUUGGAAUCGCUAGUAAUCGUGGAUCAGCAUGCCACGGUGAAUACGUUCCCGGGCCUU
Molecule: ribosomal RNA, 452 nt
Filed under: uncultured Desulfobulbus sp.
Lineage: Bacteria; Pseudomonadati; Thermodesulfobacteriota; Desulfobulbia; Desulfobulbales; Desulfobulbaceae
Description: bacterial SSU rRNA
Rfam family: Bacterial small subunit ribosomal RNA
Source: RNAcentral